This is a small nuclear RNA of Haliotis rubra (blacklip abalone), 167 nucleotides long. RefSeq annotates it as U1 spliceosomal RNA. The transcript has a single exon. The record is from RefSeq and is a predicted model, not a curated record. Lineage: Eukaryota; Metazoa; Mollusca; Gastropoda; Lepetellida; Haliotidae.
AUACCUACCUGGCACAGGUUUUACAUGCGAUCCGCAAGGCUGUGGGCCCGCGAGACUCCUUUCCCAUUGCACAUCGGUUUGGUUGAUUCUCUGCGAUCGUCCGCGUAAAAUGUGGACGACUCGGGUGCGCACUUAUGCGUGGGGAUCAUGCCUUCGUCAGCCUCCCU